AGAAUAGAUGCAAUUAAGAGUAAGCUGCUAACUUAACUCUUUAGCGGUUUAACUCCGUUAAUAUUCUU
RNAcentral lists this transfer RNA (68 nucleotides) under Agriocnemis femina. RNAcentral describes it as "tRNA-Ser". The record is from RNAcentral. Lineage: Eukaryota; Metazoa; Arthropoda; Insecta; Odonata; Coenagrionidae.